UGAGCACUUGAUCAAAUAUGAAAUCUUGCAAAUUGAAGGGAAGAGAGAUAGAUUGAUAAUUUGUGAAUUAAGAAAUUAAGAUUGAGAUAAGAAUUUUGAGUGAAGAAAUGAGGAAGAGAUGAGGGUAUUUAUAGAUUUUAAGAAGGGUUAAUAUUGUAAAUUAAUAAAUACAAAAAAAAAUUAAAAAAUGGCCAUUUUUGUAAAUUAGCCGUUGGCCAACGGAAAUGUGGGCCCC
RNAcentral lists this long non-coding RNA (235 nucleotides) under Nicotiana benthamiana. RNAcentral describes it as "long non-coding RNA (NBEN_LNC031629)". Lineage: Eukaryota; Viridiplantae; Streptophyta; Magnoliopsida; Solanales; Solanaceae. The record is from RNAcentral.